GACGGGGCCCGCACAAGCGUGGAGCAUGUGGUUAAUUCGAAGCAACGCGAAGAACCUUACCAGGUCUUGACAUCCCGAUGCUAUUUCUAGAGAUAGAAAGUUACUUCGGUACAUCGGUGACAGGUGGUGCAUGGUUGUCGUCAGCUCAUGUCGUGAGAUGUUGGGUUAAGUCCCGCAACGAGCGCAACCCCUAUUGUUAGUUGCCAUCAUUCAGUUGGGCACUCUAGCGAGACUGCCGGUAAUAAACCGGAGGAAGGUGGGAUGACGUCAAAUCAUCAUGCCCCUUAUGACCUGGGCUACACACGUGCUACAAUGGUUGGUACAACGAGUUGCGAGUCGGUGACGGCGAGCUAAUCUCUUAAAGCCAAUCUCAGUUCGGAUUGUAGGCUGCAACUCGCCUACAUGAAGUCGGAAUCGCUAGUAAUCGCGGAUCAGCACGCCGCGGUGAAUACGUUCCCGGGCCUU
Molecule: ribosomal RNA, 465 nt
Filed under: uncultured Streptococcus sp.
Lineage: Bacteria; Bacillati; Bacillota; Bacilli; Lactobacillales; Streptococcaceae
Description: bacterial SSU rRNA
Rfam family: Bacterial small subunit ribosomal RNA
Source: RNAcentral